This 168-nucleotide ribosomal RNA is filed under the name uncultured bacterium. RNAcentral describes it as "partial 16S ribosomal RNA". It matches the Rfam family "Bacterial small subunit ribosomal RNA", at positions 337 to 522 of the family's 1533-position model. The record is from RNAcentral.
UCCUACGGGAGGCAGCAGUGGGGAAUAUUGGACAAUGGGCGCAAGCCUGAUCCAGCCAUGCCGCGUGGGUGAUGAAGGCCCUAGGGUUGCAAAGCCCUUUCGGCGGGGAAGAUAAUGACGGUACCCGCAGAAGAAGCCCCGGCUAACUUCGUGCCAGCAGCCGCGGUA